ACCAAGACUAGAGUCACAUUCUGACACAGCUAUUUGUCCCGGUGUGCUAGAGUUCUCAGAGAGAAUCUCUUGGUCUUGAUUCACUGGUGGGGGUGGUCAGUGUUCCUGCUAGUGCCCAAUCAGAAACAUGU
This 131-nucleotide small nucleolar RNA is filed under the name Tupaia belangeri (northern tree shrew). RNAcentral's name for it is "Small nucleolar RNA SNORA3/SNORA45 family (ENSTBEG00000019301.1)". It matches the Rfam family "Small nucleolar RNA SNORA3/SNORA45 family". From Rfam's summary of the family: The members of this family belong to the H/ACA class of snoRNAs which are thought to guide the sites of modification of uridines to pseudouridines. This family includes mouse snoMBI-28 and human homologues ACA3 (SNORA3) and ACA3-2 (SNORA45). Both ACA3 and ACA3-2 share the same host gene. The record is from RNAcentral. Lineage: Eukaryota; Metazoa; Chordata; Mammalia; Scandentia; Tupaiidae.